GAAAACAGUAACUACGUUAGCUAUCGUAUUAUUGCACCUGUGUACCAUGAACCGCACAAGGGACCUCCCCGGGCCCUGCUCUGUUCUCAGUGACACUUCGAUUAUAAGAUUUUAACUUAAGAGGGUCAAAUGUUGACAUCCCUCUAAGGUACUACUUGUCACAGUAAUGGAAGCCACGUUUGUGUCGAGCCUGUGCCGAAAGUACAAUAAUAGAGGAUGUGAUGGCAUACUAGUUGGAAUAGAGGUCGCCCUCGUAUUGACUAUGAGGCAAAACCGGCCAUACCAUGCUGAUGAGUCAUAAUAAGGACGAAACAGCUGUCAAUGGUUGCCGACUGUGCUAGCGUCCCGUCUUGGCCCGACUGAUGCCAAUGUGUGUGCUAGUGUGCUUUUAAAGUUCACAGAGUAUCACAUUAUACUCAUGUACCAAAGGUACUAUAAUACAUGGUAAUAUAAAAAGGGUAAUGAAAAAGGUACUGGCCUACCGAAAUAUUUUUCUUCAAAAAAAAGAAUCUGCUUAGUUGUCGACUAUUUUCUUUCAAAUUUCGUAUUCAUAUUUAACUGUCGUCGCAGACAAAAGGGUCCGACCCACACAAGCAGAUAGAGGCUGUCCGGUGGUUUUGUUCUUAUUGAUGGUAAAGUUAAACACAAUAGACGGGACACAUCCAUAACGGAGCAAUAUUAUACAAACGUGACAUGUGCGACACCUAGAAUAUGCCCUACACGCGUGGAAUGUCCUCGCGGCUAUGAAAAGACCCUCCAGUGUCGACUGUACACGAUGGCAAUUUGUCGGUAAUUAUUUUCAAGUUACGUGUUGCGCUGCAUAGGAAGUUCAACUAUCUGAUUAAACAACACUAAUAUUUGC
Long non-coding RNA from Nematostella vectensis (starlet sea anemone), 862 nucleotides. RefSeq lists it as uncharacterized. The record is from RefSeq and is a predicted model, not a curated record. NCBI's taxonomy places the organism in Eukaryota, Metazoa, Cnidaria, Anthozoa, Actiniaria, Edwardsiidae. The transcript has 2 exons.